Molecule: unclassified non-coding RNA, 384 nt
Filed under: fungal sp.
Lineage: Eukaryota; Fungi
Description: partial internal transcribed spacer region
Rfam family: Eukaryotic small subunit ribosomal RNA (bases 1-46)
Source: RNAcentral
AAGUCGUAACAAGGUAACCGUAGGUGAACCUGCGGUUGGAUCAUUACAAAUUCAACAGGAUAAAGUUCGCCAUGGAACCGUUCGCGCGGUUCCGUGGUGUUCCUAAUCUGACCACACCUUUGUGAACCACUGACCGUAUCUUAUGGCCACAUUUGCGUUUUCCUACGGGGGUAGUUGACUUCAACAGUGCAUGUUUGACGCGCUGCAUGAAACUCGGACUAUUGGCCUCGCUCUUAAAACGGGCGAGGGCAGAACCUGGUGGCCACUCAAACAAUGAAAACACCCGUUUUUUGACAUUUUGCCUUAAAAAUCAAUCUGAGGCUCGAAAGAGCGCUAGGAUUUAAAAAUGAGAAACAACUUUAGACAACGGAUCUCUUGGCUCUC